GUUAGUGCUCUGGUAUUGUGCCUGGGCGAUCAUUCACAAGCUCCACCACAGUCUGGACCUUGACUUCCUGAUCACAGGCCACACGAAGUUUGCUCCCAAUUGGUUCUUCGGCCUCAUCAAGCAGCACGUCAGAAAGACCAGAGUGAACACUUUUUCAGAGAUUGCUGGUGUUGUGAAGGACAGCUCUGUGACUGGUCAACAUCCCACCACUGGUUGGACUGGAGGAUGGUACGGUGCUGGUGGAAAGCUAUGGCUGGCAACAACACCUGACUCUGUACUUCAGGCCGCUGCCACAGAUCAGUACCAGCACUUCAGCUUCGAUGCUCUUGAGCCUGGUGUUGUUGUCGCCAAUGAGUAUUCGGACUCAGUUGGGACCAGGUUUCAGAUGCUGCGCAACGGUGACAUCCUUCCUCCCAUAGAUGGUACAAACAACUACACUAACUAACUACAAAAGGACAUAAACAGGAAUUACUAUAAACUAUAAAUACAACAACAAACAAAAACCAACUAGCAUUGUCAUAUGACUGGCGAUCAGGAGCUCCUUCCCUUAGUAUACUGAACAAAAAUAUAAACGCAACAGGCAACAAUUUCAAUGAUUUUACUGGAGUUACAGAUCAGGGAAAUCAGUCAGUUGAAAUAAAUUCAUUAGACCCUAAUCUAUGGAUUUCACUGGACUGGGAAUACAGAUAUGCAUAUGUUGGUCACAGAUACUUUUGUAUACAGUAUAUAGUGUAUGUCAUGGGGCUACCCACUUGGGAGCAAUGAGUUUCUUCCCACAAAAGGGCUUUAUCAGCUGUAUGAGUGGCUAGUCCCAGAGUAUGAACAUGCCAGAUGUGGAGGUCCUGGGCUGGCAUGGCUACACAUGGUCUGCGGUUGUGAGGCAGGUUGGACGUACUGACAAAUUCUCUAAAACAAUGUUGGAGACGGCUUAUGGUAGUGAAAUUAACAUUAAAUUAUCUGGCAACAGGUCUGGUGGAUAUUCCUGCAGUCAGCAUGCAAAUUGCACACUUCAUCAAAACUUGAGACAUCUGUGGCAUUGUGUUGUGUGACAAAACUGCACAUUUUAGAGUGCACAAAAUGCACCUGUAUAAUGAUCGUGUUGUUUAAUCAGCUUCUUGAUAUGCCACACCUGUCAGGUAGGUGUAUUAUCUUGUCAAAGGAGAAAUGCUCACUAACAGGUAUGUAAACAAAUAUGGGCACAAAAUUUGAGUGAAAUAAGAUUUUUGUUUGUAUACAACAUUUCUGGGAUCUUUUAUUUUAGCUCAUGAAACAUGGGACCAACACUUUACAUUUAUAUUUUUGUUCUGUAUAUAUGAAAUCAGCACCAUCCCUCUUGAUGUGUUAUUUGGUCCCAAUUAUCAGUAAAAUCUUGAGACCUCCCACUUUCUUUUGCAAUCAAUCAUUCUAGUGUAUAAUGGUGUUUGACAGUUAUUUUUGAAAGAAUCAAAUACUAACAUAUUUGUUUUCUGAGUUUUAAAAAUUAAAACCUUCCCCAGCAGAAUCAAGGGAUCAUAUAUUGGGUUGCAUCUGUCCCUAAAGUCACGCAAUAUAACUGUUUGUGGAGAGAAAACAAAGUUGUGUAAAACAGGGAGUAACCACUCUUGUACUUUUGCCCAAGUGUUUGCAACUAUGGGGCAAUACCAGCAAAUAUGUAACAAAUCCUCUUCGAUGCCCCAUAUUUGUAACAUGUUGUUAGUUGCCAGAACAUUAUAAAAUAUCUUCAACUGAAACAUUCAGAUUGUGGAGUCUAAGGUUGUUUUAUAAAUAAAACCAAAAACCUUUUUCCAGGGGAUGGGAGUAUUAAACUGCUCUUCUUUUGGGGCGGCAGCUGAAAGGUUGCUAGAUCGAAUCUGUCGUUCUGCCCCUGAACAAGGCAGUUAACCCACUGUUCCUAGGCCAUCAUUGUAAAUAAGAAUUUGUUCUUAACUGGUUGCCUUGUUAAAUAAAGGUUAAAUAAAAUAAAAAAUCCCAGUAAGAGUGGAAUUUAAGUGGGAUGGCAAACAAUUUGUUGUUUUCCAAAUGUAAAUGGUACAGGUCUUUAUAAAUAUUAUCUAUAGUUAACCAUCUGUGAGAUUUAAUUUGAGGUCUACAAACAGUUUAUCUUCUCUUCCCCUUCAUUUUUUCUUCCAUUCUGUUGGAAUUGCUGCCAGUAACUGAUUGUAAUUAUGAUUUGUACAUAGAGUAUGUUCCCAUACAUCAUGCACAGUGUUUCAGAUAAAAUACAAUACCCAUUACUAUCAAUGAUAUCAUUUCAAAAUAAGAUCCCCUUUUCCAGAAACACAUUCUAUGUUUCAUUUAUAUUUAUUCAUCAGUAUAUUUGAAAUGAAUCAUAUGAUUUGGGUCGGAAAAGGGGGAUCUUCUGGGGGACAAUAUUGAAAAUGCAACCAAGCUUUAAUUGAUUCUUUGAAGAAUAGGGAUAUGUCUAUUAAGAUACCAUGCAGGAACCAAAUAAAGUGCAAAGAGUUCAUUUGUAUAAAAUUAAAUAUUUUGGAAUUGAGAA
Oncorhynchus nerka (sockeye salmon) is the source of this 2500-nucleotide long non-coding RNA. RefSeq lists it as uncharacterized. The transcript has 2 exons. Lineage: Eukaryota; Metazoa; Chordata; Actinopteri; Salmoniformes; Salmonidae. The record is from RefSeq and is a predicted model, not a curated record.